This 459-nucleotide ribosomal RNA is filed under the name uncultured bacterium. RNAcentral describes it as "partial 16S ribosomal RNA". It matches the Rfam family "Bacterial small subunit ribosomal RNA", at positions 338 to 795 of the family's 1533-position model. The record is from RNAcentral.
CCUACGGGGGGCUGCAGUGAGGAAUAUUGGUCAAUGGCCGGGAGGCUGAACCAGCCAAGUCGCGUGUGGGAAGACGGCCCUACGGGUUGUAAACCUCUUUUGUCAGGGAGCAAGGUGCAGGUCGGGACCUGCUGUGAGAGUACCUGAAGAAAAAGCAUCGGCUAACUCCGUGCCAGCAGCCGCGGUAAUACGGGGGAUGCGAGCGUUAUCCGGAUUUAUGGGGUUUAAAGGGUGCGUAGGCGGGCUGUUAAGUCAGCGGUAAAAUGUCGGGGCUCAACCGCGGCCUGCCGUUGAAACUGGCGGCCGAGAGUGGGGGAGAAGUAUGCGGAAUGCGUGGUGUAGCGGUGAAAUGCAUAGAUAUCACGCAGAACUCCGAUUGCGAAGGCAGCAUACCGGAGCCCGACUGACGCUGAGGCACGAAAGCGUGGGUAUCGAACAGGAUUAGAUACCCGAGUAGUC